This 804-nucleotide ribosomal RNA is filed under the name Gardineria sp. MVK-2009. RNAcentral's name for it is "eukaryotic LSU rRNA". It matches the Rfam family "Eukaryotic large subunit ribosomal RNA", at positions 39 to 662 of the family's 3401-position model. Lineage: Eukaryota; Metazoa; Cnidaria; Anthozoa; Scleractinia; Caryophylliidae. The record is from RNAcentral.
GGGAUUAAUAAGCGGAGGAAAAGAAACUAACAAGGAUUCCCCCAGUAACGGCGAGUGAAGCGGGAAGAGCUCAAAUUUGAAAUCUCCGAUGCUUGCAUCGGCGAAUUGUAGUUGCGAGAAGCACUUUCUAGGUGGAUCGGGCGCGCCUAAGUUGCUUGGAACAGCACGUCGCAGAGGGUGACAACCCCGUCUGUGGCGCGCCCGGCCGCUGACGAUGUGCUUUCGAAGAGUCGGGUUGUUUGGGAAUGCAGCCCAAAAUGGGUGGUAAACUCCAUCUAAAGCUAAAUAUUGGCGUGAGACCGAUAGCGAACAAGUACCGUGAGGGAAAGAUGAAAAGAACUUUGAAAAGAGAGUUAAAAAGUACGUGAAACCGUUGAAAGGGAAACGAAUGGACUCAGCAAUGCGCCGUUUGAGAUUCAGCCGGUCGGCCGGAUCGGUUCGGGUUUUGCGGAUCUGAAUGGACCGCGUUCCCGGGCUCGUUUCUCCCGACCGUCGCACUUCUCUUGGGCGCGCGUCAACGUCGGUUGGGACUGGGUCUCAAAGGUGCCGGGAAGGUAGGUUCGGACCCUCCUCCGGGGGUUCGUUCUGUUACAGCCCGGUUCUCUGUCAUGGCUCGGGCCCGACUGAGGAGUUUUGCAGCGCAUGCCUCUUGUGGCUAGGGUCCCGUCGCUCCGGCUGGUUGUCGAAUGCGGUGGACUGCUUGCAGUGCUCCGCGACUGCUGCCGGUCGUUGCGGUGGUGAUCUCGUACCAUGCGCUUGGGAUGUUGGCGGUCAUAUGGGUCCAUCCGACCCGUCUUGAAACAC